GAGCCUGAGAAACGGCUACCACAUCCAAGGAUGGCAGCAGGCGCGCAAAUUACCCAAUCCCGACACGGGGAGGUAGUGGCAAUAAAUAACAAUACGGGGUUCUUUAGGAUCUCGUAAUUGGAAUGAGUACAAUUUAAAUCUCUUAACGAGGAACAAUUGGAGGGCAAGUCUGGUGCCAGCAGCCGCGGUAAUUCCAGCUCCAAUAGCGUAUAUUAAAGUUGUUGCAGUUAAAAAGCUCGUAGUUGAAUUUCGGGGUUAGUAGGUUGGUCAUGCCUCUGGUAUGUACUGGUCUCACUGAUUCCUCCUUCCUUAUGAACCGUAAUGCCAUUAAUUUGGUGUUGCGGGGAAUUUGGACUGUUACUUUGAAAAAAUUAGAGUGUUUAAAGCAAGCUAACGCUUGAAUACAUUAGCAUGGAAUAAUGAAAUAGGACGUUCGAUCUUAUUUUGUUGGUUUCUAGGAUUGACGUAAUGAUUAAUAGGGAUAGUUGGGGGCAUUAGUAUUCAAUUGUCAGAGGUGAAAUUCUUGGAUUUAUUGAAGACUAACUACUGCGAAAGCAUUUGCCAAGGAUGUUUUCAUUAAUCAAGAACGAAAGUUAGGGGAUCGAAGACGAUCAGAUACCGUCGUAGUCUUAACCAUAAACUAUGCCGACUAGGGAUCGGAUGAUGUUAAUUUUUUAAUGACUCAUUCGGCGCCUUACGGGAAAC
RNAcentral lists this ribosomal RNA (705 nucleotides) under uncultured fungus. RNAcentral's name for it is "SSU rRNA". It matches the Rfam family "Eukaryotic small subunit ribosomal RNA", at positions 392 to 1098 of the family's 1831-position model. The record is from RNAcentral. Lineage: Eukaryota; Fungi.